AGAGGGUAGUUUAAUAGAAAAUAUUAAUUUUGGAGAUUAAAGAUAUAUUUGUUUUCCUCUGA
This 62-nucleotide transfer RNA is filed under the name Harmonia axyridis. Its description in RNAcentral is "tRNA-Pro". Lineage: Eukaryota; Metazoa; Arthropoda; Insecta; Coleoptera; Coccinellidae. The record is from RNAcentral.